This 890-nucleotide long non-coding RNA is filed under the name Triticum aestivum (bread wheat). Its description in RNAcentral is "long non-coding RNA (TAES_LNC013580)". Lineage: Eukaryota; Viridiplantae; Streptophyta; Magnoliopsida; Poales; Poaceae. The record is from RNAcentral.
CAUGCCUUGCUCGCGUCCGCCCGGACUGCCCGCGCCUCAAUGCGCCGCGGCGCCCAUGGGAGAGCCCGCGCUCCAAAUCACCGGAAGAAGACGGACGGACGAUUCCCGCCCGGCAAACCGCACCGCGGGGCACACAGCAGGAUUUAUCGCCUUGGACGCUUCCGGGAGAAUCCUCCUUCCUCCUCCGACGCGCACUCGCCGUCUCCAACCAGCUUUGCUCCUCCUCCGGGCCACGAAGACGGAAGCGGCAGCGGCGGCGGGUGCUUUUCUUUUGCCGCUCCGAGAAGGCCGCGACGAGUCAAACAAAACAAGUGAAGGGAACAGGGUCGGGCGGCAGUGGCGUAGCUAGGGGGUGGCCAGGGUGGUCCAUGGACCACCCUGGAAUUUCCCCAUAGUGUAUUAAAAAUAUAUUUCUUUGAAAAUAAAUAAACUUAUGUAAAUAUUUCUAUUGGUGGACCACCCUGACUUAUUGGGCUGGCUACGCCACUGUCGGGCGGAGAGACUGGAGAGCAAAGCCCGAGUGACCAGCCAACCAACCAAGCGGGUGCAAGAGGAAGAAGAUAGGGACUACUGGUAGCAGUAGAUGCGGGAUGGCGCAGCGGUGGGCUCCACUCCUAGCUCCGGCUGGGGCGAAUUUUUUUAUGUGGAGGUCGGGCGACGCGGAGCGGAUCCUUGUAGCCGCGGAAGGUGGCAGGAAGGGAGGGCGGACGGAUCGAUCAAUCGGGGCGGGACGGGACGCGUGGGCGAUCGCGUCGGGCGCGAUACGUGGUCGCGGCUUUUGUGUCACGCCUGCGACUAUCUUCUAUCCAUUGUGCGUGGCUUUUAACGCCGGGGCAUGUGCUUUUCGCUGGGGUUUGCUUGGUCGCCUUUUGCGCCCGGCUGCUUUAGUC